UGUGAGUUAUAUAUGUAUAUAUACAUAGUCCUGAGGCUAUAAACAUAAAACGAAACAUGCUCUAUUGGUUAACGACUUAGGCAAUUGUAGGAGAUGAUGCAAGUUCGAAACCUGCUAACCUUAUUUUUCUUGAUUUAUUUUGCCAUCGACUUAACUCUAUAGUACAUUGCCCAUUAAUAAAACUUAAGCCAACAUUCGCUUCUAUAUAAGAUGGUCAUCCACUUUCUUUCUACUAUUUCGUAGGCAGAAUAACAUGGUACCCACUUUCGGAACCGUUGGUUUUGGAACCGGAAAGUUUGGAACUGCCUUAAGUGGUUCCGGUUUUCAUUUUUCCGGAACCGCUACCCGCCGGUUACCCGUCAAAACUGGUUUGUAUAUAUAUAUAUCCCCUAUCCUAAUAAAUAAGUAGAAUAGUGCCACGUGUCAGUCUCCCAGACCCCCAAAAUAUAUUUUUCCCACUUCUUUUCUUCAGGUCCAUUUACGUUAAUCCUCCACUUCAAAUAGAGGCAAUUAAUCCGGAAAAAACUGCAGUAAAAAAAUGCAAUCAAAAAUUUAAAAUGAAUAAAAGAUUUGCAAAUAAUAUACAAAAAUCGGUUAUUCAAAUUUGAAAUUCGAAAUACCUGAUUUAUAUGGAAGUUUGUUUAUUGUGAUUGGAAAUUAAAUAAUUUCCCGUGAUUAAAUCCCAAAAAAUCUGCAUUCUUAAAAUUAUCUUUUCAGAAUACUACUAUUAUCCAUCUAAUAUAUUCCUUCUUUUCAGCAUUCUUAAAAUUAUCGAGCUAUCAAUUAAGUAAAUCCCAAAAAAUUUGCUGGAAAUAAAUGCAUACCCAUAUAUAUGACUAUAAGAUCUACAUGCUUUGGUAUCCACGAUUCUGCUUAUGAGACUACUUUGCAAA
RNAcentral lists this long non-coding RNA (893 nucleotides) under Lactuca sativa (garden lettuce). Its description in RNAcentral is "long non-coding RNA (LSAT_LNC009956)". The record is from RNAcentral. Lineage: Eukaryota; Viridiplantae; Streptophyta; Magnoliopsida; Asterales; Asteraceae.